GAGGGUAUAGCUCAGUGAUAGAGCAUGUGUGUAGCGUGCACAAGGUCCUAGGUUCAAUCCUCAGUACCUCCA
Molecule: transfer RNA, 72 nt
Filed under: Camelus bactrianus (Bactrian camel)
Lineage: Eukaryota; Metazoa; Chordata; Mammalia; Artiodactyla; Camelidae
Also listed under: 2 other names
Rfam family: tRNA
About the family: Transfer RNA (tRNA) molecules are approximately 80 nucleotides in length. Their secondary structure includes four short double-helical elements and three loops (D, anti-codon, and T loops).
Source: Rfam by way of RNAcentral